Molecule: non-coding RNA, 143 nt
Organism: Nomascus leucogenys (northern white-cheeked gibbon)
Lineage: Eukaryota; Metazoa; Chordata; Mammalia; Primates; Hylobatidae
Rfam family: Metazoan signal recognition particle RNA
About the family: The signal recognition particle (SRP) is a universally conserved ribonucleoprotein. It is involved in the co-translational targeting of proteins to membranes.
Source: Rfam
GCCGGGUGUGGUGGUGCACACCUGUAAUCCCAGCUACUUGGGAGGCUGAGGCAGGAGAAUCGCUUGAGCCUGGGAGGCGGAGGUUGCAGUGAGCCAAGAUCGCACCACUGCACCCUAGGUGACAGAGCGAGACUCUGUCUCAA